RNAcentral lists this long non-coding RNA (398 nucleotides) under Cavia porcellus (domestic guinea pig). RNAcentral's name for it is "lncRNA (ENSCPOG00000034993.1)". The record is from RNAcentral. Lineage: Eukaryota; Metazoa; Chordata; Mammalia; Rodentia; Caviidae.
GGUGACAUUCAUCAGAAUCUCUCUUAACUACACGAUUUACUUCACCCCAGACACUUCUACUGAUGUGAAUCAAGAGAACAUCCCUGGCUUUGGCACCCUCAAGUAUGCCUCCAGUGCAGAAUGAGCAUUCUACUUCUGGACCCUGGGCUGCAUCAUAGAGACACUCUCCCCUGUCCCAAUCCCAGGUGCAUGUUCUCCUAUUUCCCUUCUGUUCCUAUAACAUUCUUUGUGCUUUGAUUCCUUUGCUCUCCCUUCUAGUAGCUUGUGACUAUUCCCAAUCCUAAUGAACAUUGACUGUGGGUUCUAUAGAUUAACUAUAGUUUCUAUAGAGUUCUACAUUAAAAAUAUGUCUCUUUCCUCCUCAACAAUAAAGAUUUUUACAUAUGAGCGAUGUAAUG